Molecule: ribosomal RNA, 550 nt
Filed under: Bifidobacterium pseudocatenulatum
Lineage: Bacteria; Bacillati; Actinomycetota; Actinomycetes; Bifidobacteriales; Bifidobacteriaceae
Description: bacterial SSU rRNA
Rfam family: Bacterial small subunit ribosomal RNA
Source: RNAcentral
UCUCCUGGAAAACGGGUGGUAAUGCCGGAUGCUCCGACUCCUCGCAUGGGGUGUCGGGAAAGAUUUCAUCGGUAUGGGAUGGGGUCGCGUCCUAUCAGGUAGUCGGCGGGGUAACGGCCCACCGAGCCUACGACGGGUAGCCGGCCUGAGAGGGCGACCGGCCACAUUGGGACUGAGAUACGGCCCAGACUCCUACGGGAGGCAGCAGUGGGGAAUAUUGCACAAUGGGCGCAAGCCUGAUGCAGCGACGCCGCGUGCGGGAUGACGGCCUUCGGGUUGUAAACCGCUUUUGAUCGGGAGCAAGCCUUCGGGUGAGUGUACCUUUCGAAUAAGCACCGGCUAACUACGUGCCAGCAGCCGCGGUAAUACGUAGGGUGCAAGCGUUAUCCGGAAUUAUUGGGCGUAAAGGGCUCGUAGGCGGUUCGUCGCGUCCGGUGUGAAAGUCCAUCGCUUAACGGUGGAUCUGCGCCGGGUACGGGCGGGCUGGAGUGCGGUAGGGGAGACUGGAAUUCCCGGUGUAACGGUGGAAUGUGUAGAUAUCGGGAAAGAA